UGUUUGUGUCGUCUCUUUGAGUUUCGUGGAAUUGUGUGUAGACAUUUGCUUUCUGUUCUGGUAAAAAGAAAAGUCACUACAGUUCCAGAAAAAUAUAUUUUGGAACGAUGGCGCAAAGACAUUAAACGUGGAUAUCAACGAAUCACCAAUAUUUAUGAUGAUUCUUCUCAGCAUGCAGAGGAAAGACGAAGAUAUAAUAAUCUUCAACCAUUGUUACAGGAAGUGGGACAAUUUGGGUCAAAAAAUGAUGAGAGAUGUUUUGUUUUAAUAGGGAUAUUAAAAGAAGCAAAAAAAAGGUUUAUGGAUACCAAUAUUGGUGAUUCAUUGGAUGGUGUUCAGGAUAGCAACAUAAUACAUGAGGAAUCAAGAAAUGAGAGCAAAAAGUUUCACAGCCCACUGAAAGUAAGGUCUCGUGGACGUCCACCCACGAAAAGAAAACAAUCCAAAAUUGAACAAAUUGAGAAAAGGGCAAAGGCAAAGUCUCGAAAAAAGGUUUGGUUUGUAUAUUUGGGUGUAAUUUGUUACUUUGGUGUUAUGUUAUAUUGAUAAUUUAUAUAAGUACAUUUGUCUACAGGGUUCUAUAAUUGAUAGAAAGCAAGAUGACUUAUCAAACAUUGAAGAAAUUGAUAAAUCUGCAGAGAGUCAGAGAUUGUUUAGAUUGGAUAAAGAACUGUUGGUUCCUAAUGAUGUUGUUCAGACAAUGGAGAGAACAAGGUCUUUUGAGAAACCUAUUGAUUUGUUACAAAUGCAUACUGAUUUGUUGAAGGUAUCUUCUCUUAUCUAGAAAGACACAAAUUUUAAAAAGAAUUGUUCACACUCCUUGGCUUGAUGGUAGAUGCUCAUGAUUCUCUGUUUGU
Long non-coding RNA from Zingiber officinale, 857 nucleotides. RefSeq lists it as uncharacterized. The transcript has 3 exons. Lineage: Eukaryota; Viridiplantae; Streptophyta; Magnoliopsida; Zingiberales; Zingiberaceae. The record is from RefSeq and is a predicted model, not a curated record.